Molecule: ribosomal RNA, 301 nt
Filed under: uncultured bacterium
Lineage: Bacteria
Description: partial 16S ribosomal RNA
Rfam family: Bacterial small subunit ribosomal RNA
Source: RNAcentral
CAGUAGCCGCGGUAAUACGGAGGGUGCAAGCGUUAAUCGGAAUUACUGGGCGUAAAGCGUGCGUAGGCGGUUCGUUAAGUCUGUUGUGAAAGCCCCGGGCUCAACCUGGGAAUGGCAAUGGAUACUGGCGAGCUAGAGUGUGUCAGAGGAUGGUGGAAUUCCCGGUGUAGCGGUGAAAUGCGUAGAGAUCGGGAGGAACAUCAGUGGCGAAGGCGGCCAUCUGGGACAACACUGACGCUGAGGCACGAAGGCGUGGGGAGCAAACAGGAUUAGAUACCCGCGUAGUCCCUGUCUCUUAUAC